UGUGCACAAUCCUAAUCUUCACCCAUCAUCUUGUCAGCUCAUUCUUAUGCUUUUUCCUGAAACACAAGCUGUAUCACAGAAGCAAAGCAAUCAGGGCAAAGGGAUGAGAGCUGUAUGUUGAGGUCCACUGAUUACUGCAGGCUCGCUCGAGGAAGCGACUCAGACUUGAUUUGUUUCAUCUCUGUCAUUUACUUCCUGAACAAACUCUUUCUCUUCCCCUAUUCUCUCUAAUGUUUUCUCUCUCUAAAGUGACUGGUGUGAUUUGCAUCUGUUCCAGUGAAGCCCAGUAAACAGACGAUGCAGCACUGACCCUGGAUUAACAUCUGACUGAAUGAGCCUACUGCAGCCUGUGUGUUGCUCAGAGAAACUGACCUGCUUUCUAGCACCGAAGAGAGACAUACGUCAAAGUAGUCAGGAUGUUAAUUAAAAGUUUUGGAUACGACUGACCGAGCAGAGGAGCACACGUCUGUGUUGAAGAGCGUUUCUCUGUCCUCAAGUACUGCAUUUCAACAGCUUUCUCUGAUGAGCUUCUUCUGUUGUUCUGAUGUCGUGCAGACGCUCUUACACACGGACGAGCGAGCGAGAAAAUGAAGCCCACUCUGGCGGAGAGCAACACCUACUACACAAGUGCAGACUGGAUUUUAUUAACAUUCUGUGCAUUUUAGCAGGAUUAGACGGGCGGCCCAUGAACAAGCAUCGUUUCAGUUCGUUCUGAAUCUCAUCCUACGGAUCAAACUCAAGUGCUGAAUUACUCAUAAGAGCCCGGCGUCAGAUCACAAGCUGUGUUUCUGGCCUACAUGCAACUAGCAUUGACUUGAAAGCAAUGGAGUGUAAAGCAGAUCGUGAUGAACUUUGUUGUGGUGCUAAUGCUAAUGUAUUCCAGAACCUCCCCCUUUCAAACACAUAUUAUACAUUUAACACAACUGUGAGUCUUAUACAGGCAAUAGUAAAAUCCAUCUGUGAAAUAACUAAAUAUCCUGUAUUCAGAGGCGCCCAUGCACAACACCAUUAAUAAUCUUCACUGGUAUAAUGUGCUGUUUUGUUCGUUCUAUUGUCUAAUCUAAAAUUCAAACAUUUGUCAAAAGUUUUACAGAUGCCUCUUUUGUCCUUUGCUAACUUGCAAUUAGUUUGGAGGGAUGACUCUAAUUCCCGUGUAUUCAUCUCAUGACCUGCGUCUCCUGCUCUCAUAUUAUCAGCUGUUUGAGAUGAAGUCAGACUCCCUUUCACAUGCCACUUUCUAUUCUUAUCAAACACCUUUCUUUAUUACAGAAAUAGAUAGUGGAUGGAUGGAUGGAUGGAAAACAAUGAAAUAUGUUUUGGUGCUCGGUGCAAACUGGUUUAAGGACUGUUCACACACAAAGAACUAUUAACAUUCAUAUAACCUUUCCAUCGCAUGAAAGGUUCUUUAUAGUGAAAACGGUUCUUCACAUGAUUUCAUGGAUGGAUCGAUAAGAGUCUAUAACGGUUUGAAGUAUCUGAUAUAUAAAUGCUAAUA
Molecule: long non-coding RNA, 1495 nt
Organism: Carassius auratus (goldfish)
Lineage: Eukaryota; Metazoa; Chordata; Actinopteri; Cypriniformes; Cyprinidae
Exons: 3
Source: RefSeq, a predicted model, not a curated record